This is an RNA transcript of Medicago truncatula (barrel medic), 5381 nucleotides long. It is a transcript of the gene named ABC transporter C family member 8, with no coding region annotated. The record is from RefSeq and is a predicted model, not a curated record. The transcript is spliced from 13 exons. NCBI's taxonomy places the organism in Eukaryota, Viridiplantae, Streptophyta, Magnoliopsida, Fabales, Fabaceae.
UUCAAUUUCCUUAUCACUUCAACUUUUUUUUUUUUUCAUUUCAAUUUCUUUAUCUCAAGUUUUAAUAUGAAUUGAAUCGGCGCUUGCGGAGUAUGAUCAACUCCUUACCAACUGAACCAACCUUCGUUGACUAUCACUUCGCUCCUUAGUUGCCUAGCCGAACCAAAUGCAUUAAUAUUACAAGUUGUAUUAUUGCAUAUAAUUUCAAGGUAACUUCAUCUGACACAAUGAUGAAAUAUAGAUAUAGAUAUACAAAUGGAAGUGAAUGAGCAAGCUAUAUUGUGCAUAAUUUCAACAAACUUGUGCUCAAAGUGAUAGGCUUCUCAGCUGCAAAAGGAGCAUAGAAUAUUCAACAAGGUCCAAAAUGGUUUACUUUGAGAAUACAAUAGGAUAUGAAGGUGAUUUCUCAUGGAUAUGUAUGAAGGAUUUUGAUUUCACUUCUUUUUGUUCUCUAUGGAGUGCAAUAGACACUAUCAAUAUACUUUUUGUCUGCGCCUACUACACGUCCUUGGCUAUCAGUUUAACCAGAACAACUUCCGCAAAUAAGAGCCAGACAAAAAGUUGGAUUUUCUCACUUGUCUCAAUCUGUUGUGCUUUUACUAGCAUUGCAUAUUUUGCCACUGGAUUUUGGAAUCUCUUAGACAAAACUGGUAACUCUAAGGAUCUAAGCUGGUUAGCUUGCAUUAUCAGAGGAAUCAUUUGGAUAUCUAUAACAGUUUCUUUGCUUGUUCAGCAAGUCAAAUGGAUUCAAAUACUAAACUCUGUCUGGUGGGCAUCUUCAUGUGUAUUGGUUUCAGCUCUCAACAUCGACAUUUUGUUCAAAGGUCAUGCUAUUCAAACUUUUGAUAUCACAAUAUGGCUUGUACACUGUCUUCUUCUACUUUGUUCCUACAAAAAUCUUGGUUAUUUAGGAACUCAUAGUGUCCCAGAAUGUUUAUAUUCCGAGCCACUACUAGCUCAGAAAUGUGAAACAAAACAAACGGGACUAAGCAAUGCUACCUUGCUCAGCAAGUUAGUUUUCUCUUGGGUUAACUCUUUGCUUAGUUUAGGAUACUCAAAGCCACUAGCUCUUGAAGACAUACCUACCCUUGUUUCUGAAGAUGAAGCAAACACUGCGUAUCAAAAUUUUGUGCAUGAAUGGGAGUCUCUUGGAAGGAAGAGGAGUAAGAACAGUACAAAAAAUUUGGUUCUUUGGUCUAUAGUUAAAACUUACUUACAAGAAAACAUAUUAAUAGCAUUCUAUGCACUACUCAGAACUAUUUCUGUUGUAGUUUUACCUCUAAUUCUCUAUGCUUUUGUUAACUACUCAAGUAGAACCGAGGGAAAUCUCAGAGAAGGUCUUUCCAUAGUUGGUUUUCUGAUUCUCACCAAAUUAGUCGAGUCUUUUUCCCAGAGACAUUGGUUUUUUAACUCAAGGAGGUUAGGAAUGAAAAUGAGAUCAGCUCUGAUGGUGGCAGUUUAUGAGAAGCAGCUAAAGCUUUCUAGCUCGGGAAAGAUAAGACACUCGGCCGGUGAAAUUGUGAAUUACAUUGCAGUUGAUGCAUAUAGAAUGGGAGAAUUUCCAUGGUGGUUUCAUAUAACAUGGACUUGUAUACUACAACUUGUUCUGUCCAUUGCUGUCCUUUUCGGUGUUGUUGGUAUUGGUGCUCUUCCUGGUUUAGUCCCUCUUGUUAUAUGUGGACUUCUCAACGUACCAUUUGCAAGGAUCCUACAAAAUUGUCAGUCACAGUUUAUGAUUGCACAGGACGAACGUCUUAGAUCAACUUCCGAGAUUCUAAAUAGUAUGAAGAUCAUUAAGUUACAAUCAUGGGAAGAAAAAUUUAAGAACUUAGUUGAGUCCUUACGCGAUAAAGAGUUUGUAUGGUUGUCUAAGUCGCAGAUCCUGAAAGCUUCUAGUUCAUUUCUUUUUUGGAUGUCUCCUACAAUUAUAUCAUCUGUUGUUUUCCUUGGAUGUGCUAUUUCCAAUAGCGCACCAUUGAAUGCUCAAACCAUUUUCACAGUUCUUGCAACAUUGAAAAGCAUGGGAGAUCCUGUUAAAAUGAUUCCAGAAGCUCUAUCGAUUUUGAUUCAAGUUAAGGUUUCCUUUGAUCGUCUUAAUAACUUUUUGCUUGAUGAAGAACUUCACAAUGAUGAUAAUAGUGAAAAACACAUAAAGCAUUGUUCAUCUAAUGUCGUGGAAAUUCAAGCUGGCAACUUCACUUGGGAUCUUGAAUCUGUGUCCCCAACUUUAACAGAUGUUAAUUUAGAAAUAAAACGGGGACAGAAAAUAGCAGUUUGUGGACCGGUUGGAGCUGGAAAAUCGUCUCUUCUGUAUGCAAUACUCGGAGAGAUUCCAAAUAUUCAAGGAACUGUUAAUGUAGGUGGCACUCUUGCCUAUGUUUCUCAAUCUUCAUGGAUACAAAGUGGAACCGUUCGAGAUAAUAUACUCUUUGGCAAGCCAAUGAACAAAGCAAGAUAUGAGAAUGCUAUUAAAGCUUGUGCCUUGGACGAAGAUAUCAAUGAUUUGAGUCAUGGUGAUCUUACAGAAAUAGGUCAAAGAGGGAUUAACCUAAGUGGAGGACAAAAGCAAAGGAUUCAACUAGCUCGAGCAGUUUACAACGAUGCUGAUAUCUAUCUCCUUGAUGACCCUUUCAGCGCAGUUGACGCGCACACUGCUGCUAUUCUGUUCAAUGACUGCAUUAUGACUGCUCUAAGAGAGAAAACAGUCAUUCUUGUGACACAUCAAGUGGAGUUUCUCUCAAAAGUUGUUGAUAGAAUAUUGGUAAUGGAGGAUGGAAAAGUUAUUCAAUCAGGUAGUUAUGAGAAUCUCCUAAUAGCUGGGACAGCCUUUGAACAACUUGUGAACGCGCACAAAGACGCACUUACUGAGUUGAAUCAAGAUAACAAAAACCAAGGAAGUUCGGAACAUGAUGUCUUGGUUAAUCCACAAGAGUCUCAUAGUGUGAAAGAGAUUUCUACCAGAGGUCAACUUACAAAAGAGGAAGAAAAAGAGAUUGGUGAUGUUGGCUGGAAGCCAUUCUGGGAUUAUAUAUCUUAUUCCAAGGGAUCAUUGAUGCUGUGUUUUAUUGUGUUAGCACAAUCUGCUUUUAUGGCUUUGCAGACUGCAUCAUCCUUUUGGCUUGCUAUUGCGAUCGAAAUUCCAAAAGUAACGAGUGCCAACUUGAUUGGAGUUUAUUCAUUAAUUUCUUUCACUGGUGUUAUGUUUGUAUAUAUAAGGUCUUACUUGAUGGCGCGUCUCGGAUUAAAUGCUUCUAUUGCCUACUUCUCUAGCUUCACUACAGCUAUCUUCAAUUCUCCAAUGAUGUUCUUCGAUUCUACGCCGGUUGGAAGGAUUUUAACCCGAGCUUCAUCAGAUUUGAGUAUUUUGGACUUUGAUAUGCCUCAUGCCGUCCACUUUGCCUUAUCAGUAGCAAUUGAAGUUCUGGUAAUAAUUUGCAUAAUGGCUUCAGUCACAUGGCAAGUUCUAAUUGUUGCUGUUCCGGCAAUGGUGGCAUCGAUAUUCAUUCAGCAUUAUUAUCAAGCAACUGCAAGGGAACUAAUGCGGAUCAACGGAACCACCAAAGCACCAGUCAUGAAUUUUGCAGCUGAGACAUCACUUGGAGUGGUUACUAUAAGAGCAUUCAACAUGGUAGACAGACUUAUGAAAUACUACUUAAAACUUGUCGACACAGAUGCUACGCUGUUCUUUCAUUCUAAUGUUGCCAUGGAGUGGAUGGUUAUAAGGAUUGAGGCACUUCAAACUUUGACAGUUAUCACUGCAGCAUUGUUGCUUAUUCUACUUCCUCAUGGAUAUGUGUCUCCAGGACUUGUGGGACUGUCUCUUUCGUAUGCUUUUAAUUUGACAGGAGCCCAGAUAUUUUGGACUAGAUGGUUUUCCACCUUAUCAAACAACAUAAUCUCGGUUGAAAGAAUCAAGCAGUUCAUCGACAUUCCAGCCGAACCUCCUGCCAUUAUGGAGGAUAACCGACCGCCAUCUCCAUGGCCUUCCAAGGGUAGGAUUGAAGUUCAAGGCUUAGAGAUUAGAUACCGUCCAAAUGCACCAUUAGUCCUUAAGGGAAUCACUUGUACAUUUAAUGAAGGGAGUAGGGUAGGAGUUGUUGGAAGGACUGGAAGUGGAAAAAGUACACUUAUAAGUGCUUUGUUUCGCUUAGUUGAGCCUUCGAGAGGUGAUAUUAUCAUAGAUGGGAUUAACAUAUGCUCGAUCGGGUUGAAAGAUUUGAGAAUGAAGCUAAGCAUCAUUCCUCAAGAACCAACACUUUUCAAGGGCAGCAUUAGGACAAACCUUGACCCUUUAGGCCUAUACACAGAUAAUGAAAUAUGGAAGGCUUUGGAGAAAUGUCACCUCAAGGAAACAAUCAGCAGGCUACCAAGUCUCUUGGACUCUUCUGUGAGUGAUGAAGGUGGAAAUUGGAGCUUAGGGCAGCGCCAACUGUUUUGUCUUGGAAGAGUACUACUCAAGAGGAACAAAAUUUUAGUUCUAGAUGAAGCUACAGCCUCCAUUGACUCUGCCACAGAUGCCAUUCUACAAAGAGUAAUUAGACAAGAAUUUGCAGAAUGCACUGUAAUAACCAUUGCUCACAGAAUUCCAACUGUAAUAGACAGUGACAUGGUCAUGAUCCUAUCUUAUGGGAAACUGGUGGAAUAUGAUGAGCCUUCAAAGCUAAUGGAAACCAACUCUUCAUUCUCUAAGCUGGUAGCUGAGUAUUGGUCUAGCUACAAGAAGAGUUCCAUCCCAAACACUAGCAUACAGAAACAAUGAAUACAUACUGACGUAAUGGAAAAGAAACAUAGUCAAAUAAAUUAAAGGAAAAUGACUCACAUCCCAUUCCCAGACAUUGAGUGGCAUGGUUGAAAAUGUGGCGGAGGAUGGCGUUGAGGCGAAACCGGGCAAAAAUAAAGCUUCCGGUGAAGCUUCCGGCGUAGGCGUAGGUUCCCGCGAAGGCAAACCGACCAAUAAUGUGAAGUUUAAAGUGAAAAUUCAUUUUCAAGUUGAAGCUCACAUAGUUCACAAUCAAGCAAAAUCGGUACCUACCGGUAACUUUGAAGACAAGCCUAAACACUACAAGAAACAUUACCUUUUGCCAGGGGCAAAAUCCCUGUCAAAAGUACAUAAUCGAUGGCAAAAGGGACGUUUGUGAGGGAAAAAGCCAGGGGCAGAAGCAGUGGCAAAAGCGCUCAUCGCAAAAUUUUUGCCAGGGGCUACACCCCUGGGAUAAAAACGAGGGGCGGCUAAACCCCUGGUAUAUUGCCAGGCUUUCUCCCUGGCAUAACCCAUGGAAUAUUCCCUCACUUUUGUCUGCAACUUUGCUGCACCUCUGACUGCACCCUGCACUGAAGUGAUUGACUGAAAGCAAGUCAGAUGAGCAAAAAACCAGGGAUAU